Molecule: transfer RNA, 88 nt
Filed under: Candidatus Nealsoniibacteriota bacterium
Lineage: Bacteria; Candidatus Nealsoniibacteriota
Description: Candidatus Nealsonbacteria bacterium tRNA-Ser
Rfam family: tRNA
About the family: Transfer RNA (tRNA) molecules are approximately 80 nucleotides in length. Their secondary structure includes four short double-helical elements and three loops (D, anti-codon, and T loops). Further hydrogen bonds mediate the characteristic L-shaped molecular structure. tRNAs have two regions of fundamental functional importance: the anti-codon, which is responsible for specific mRNA codon recognition, and the 3' end, to which the tRNAs corresponding amino acid is attached (by aminoacyl-tRNA synthetases). tRNAs cope with the degeneracy of the genetic code in two manners: having more than one tRNA (with a specific anti-codon) for a particular amino acid; and 'wobble' base-pairing, i.e. permitting non-standard base-pairing at the 3rd anti-codon position.
Source: RNAcentral
GGAGGGAUCGGAUAGCGGUUUAUUCCACCGGCUUGGAAAGCCGUGCCUCUUAUGGGGCUCGUGGGUUCGAAUCCCACUCCCUCCGCCA